GGGUUGUGAGGUUAAGCGAACAAGCGUACACGGUGGAUGCCCUGGCAGUCAGAGGCGAUGAAGGACGUGCUAAUCUGCGAAAAGCGCCGGUAAGGUGAUAUGAACCGUUAUAACCGGCGAUGUCCGAAUGGGGAAACCCGGUGCACUUCGGUGCAUCAUCGUUAGCUGAAUACAUAGGCUAACGAGGCGAACCGGGGGAACUGAAACAUCUAAGUACCCCGAGGAAAAGAAAUCAACCGAGAUUCCCCCAGUAGCGGCGAGCGAACGGGGAACAGCCCAGAGCCUGAAUCAGCUUGUGUGUCAGUGGAACGGUCUGGAAAGGCCGGCGAUACAGGGUGACAGCCCCGUACACGAAGGCACACAGGCUGUGAGCUCGAUGAGUAGGGCGGGACACGUGAUAUCCUGUCUGAAGAUGGGGGGACCAUCCUCCAAGGCUAAAUACUCCUGACUGACCGAUAGUGAACCAGUACCGUGAGGGAAAGGCGAAAAGAACCCCGGCGAGGGGAGUGAAACAGAACCUGAAACCGUGUACGUACAAGCAGUGGGAGCCUUCGUAAGAGGGUGACUGCGUACCUUUUGUAUAAUGGGUCAGCGACUUAUAUUCUGUAGCAAGGUUAACCGUAUAGGGGAGCCGAAGGGAAACCGAGUCUUAACCGGGCGUUAAGUUGCAGGGUAUAGACCCGAAACCCGGUGAUCUAGCCAUGGGCAGGUUGAAGGUUGGGUAACACUAACUGGAGGACCGAACCGACUAAUGUUGAAAAAUUAGCGGAUGACCUGUGGCUGGGGGUGAAAGGCCAAUCAAACCGGGAGAUAGCUGGUUCUCCCCGAAAGCUAUUUAGGUAGCGCCUCGUGAACUCAUCUCCGGGGGUAGAGCACUGUUUCGGCUAGGGGGCCAUCCCGGCUUACCAACCCGAUGCAAACUGCGAAUACCGGAGAAUGUUAUCACGGGAGACACACGGCGGGUGCUAACGUCCGUCGUGAAGAGGGAAACAACCCAGACCGCCAGCUAAGGUCCCAAAGUCAUGGUUAAGUGGGAAACGAUGUGGGAAGGCCCAGACAGCCAGGAUGUUGGCUUAGAAGCAGCCAUCAUUUAAAGAAAGCGUAAUAGCUCACUGGUCGAGUCGGCCUGCGCGGAAGAUGUAACGGGGCUAAACCAUGCACCGAAGCUGCGGCAGCGACACGUAUGUGUUGUUGGGUAGGGGAGCGUUCUGUAAGCCUGCGAAGGUGUGCUGUGAGGCAUGCUGGAGGUAUCAGAAGUGCGAAUGCUGACAUAAGUAACGAUAAAGCGGGUGAAAAGCCCGCUCGCCGGAAGACCAAGGGUUCCUGUCCAACGUUAAUCGGGGCAGGGUGAGUCGACCCCUAAGGCGAGGCCGAAAGGCGUAGUCGAUGGGAAACAGGUUAAUAUUCCUGUACUUGGUGUUACUGCGAAGGGGGGACGGAGAAGGCUAUGUCGGCCGGGCGACGGUUGUCCCGGUUUAAGCGUGUAGGCUGACUUUCCAGGCAAAUCCGGAAAGUUAAGGCUGAGGCGUGAUGACGAGGCACCACGGUGCUGAAGUGACAAAUGCCCUGCUUCCAGGAAAAGCCUCUAAGCAUCAGGUAACAUCAAAUCGUACCCCAAACCGACACAGGUGGUCAGGUAGAGAAUACCAAGGCGCUUGAGAGAACUCGGGUGAAGGAACUAGGCAAAAUGGUGCCGUAACUUCGGGAGAAGGCACGCUGACAUGUAGGUGAAGCCCCUGCGGGUGGAGCUGAAGUCAGUCGAAGAUACCAGCUGGCUGCAACUGUUUAUUAAAAACACAGCACUGUGCAAACACGAAAGUGGACGUAUACGGUGUGACGCCUGCCCGGUGCCGGAAGGUUAAUUGAUGGGGUUAUCGCAAGAGAAGCUCCUGAUCGAAGCCCCGGUAAACGGCGGCCGUAACUAUAACGGUCCUAAGGUAGCGAAAUUCCUUGUCGGGUAAGUUCCGACCUGCACGAAUGGCGUAAUGAUGGCCAGGCUGUCUCCACCCGAGACUCAGUGAAAUUGAACUCGCUGUGAAGAUGCAGUGUACCCGCGGCAAGACGGAAAGACCCCGUGAACCUUUACUACAGCUUGACACUGAACAUUGAGCCUUGAUGUGUAGGAUAGGUGGGAGGCUUUGAAGCGUGGACGCCAGUCUGCGUGGAGCCGACCUUGAAAUACCACCCUUUAAUGUUUGAUGUUCUAACCUGGCGCCGUGAUCCGGCGUGGGGACAGUGUCUGGUGGGUAGUUUGACUGGGGCGGUCUCCUCCCAAAGUGUAACGGAGGAGCACGAAGGUCAGCUAAUCCUGGUCGGACAUCAGGAGGUUAGUGCAAUGGCAUAAGCUGGCUUGACUGCGAGAGUGACGGCUCGAGCAGGUGCGAAAGCAGGUCAUAGUGAUCCGGUGGUUCUGUAUGGAAGGGCCAUCGCUCAACGGAUAAAAGGUACUCCGGGGAUAACAGGCUGAUACCGCCCAAGAGUUCAUAUCGACGGCGGUGUUUGGCACCUCGAUGUCGGCUCAUCACAUCCUGGGGCUGAAGUAGGUCCCAAGGGUAUGGCUGUUCGCCAUUUAAAGUGGUACGCGAGCUGGGUUUAGAACGUCGUGAGACAGUUCGGUCCCUAUCUGCCGUGGGCGCUGGAGAAUUGAGGGGGGCUGCUCCCAGUACGAGAGGACCGGAGUGGACGCAUCACUGGUGUUCGGGUUGUCAUGCCAAUGGCACUGCCCGGUAGCUAAAUGCGGAAGAGAUAAGUGCUGAAAGCAUCUAAGCACGAAACUUGCCCCGAGAUGAGUUCUCCCUGAGACUGUAAGUCUCCUGAAGGAACGUUGAAGACGACGACGUUGAUAGGCCGGGUGUGUAAGCGCAGCGAUGCGUUGAGCUAACCGGUACUAAUGAACCGUGAGGCUUAACCUUACAACGCCAAAGAAGU
RNAcentral lists this ribosomal RNA (2928 nucleotides) under Cronobacter sakazakii. RNAcentral describes it as "bacterial LSU rRNA". It matches the Rfam family "Bacterial large subunit ribosomal RNA". The record is from RNAcentral. Lineage: Bacteria; Pseudomonadati; Pseudomonadota; Gammaproteobacteria; Enterobacterales; Enterobacteriaceae.